This 432-nucleotide ribosomal RNA is filed under the name uncultured bacterium. RNAcentral describes it as "bacterial SSU rRNA". It matches the Rfam family "Bacterial small subunit ribosomal RNA", at positions 29 to 507 of the family's 1533-position model. The record is from RNAcentral.
AACGAACGCUGGCGGCAGGCCUAACACAUGCAAGUCGAACGCUGUAGCAAUACAGAGUGGCAGACGGGUGAGUAACACGUGGGAAUCUACCUGGAGGUACGGAAUAGCUCAGGGAAACUUGAGGUAAUACCGUAUACGCCCUUACGGGGAAAGAUUUAUCGCCUUCAGAUGAGCCCGCGUCUGAUUAGCUAGUUGGUGAGGUAAUGGCUCACCAAGGCGACGAUCAGUAGCUGGUUUGAGAGAAUGACCAGCCACACUGGGACUGAGACACGGCCCAGACUCCUACGGGAGGCAGCAGUGGGGAAUAUUGGACAAUGGGCGCAAGCCUGAUCCAGCCAUGCCGCGUGAGUGACGAAGGCCUUAGGGUUGUAAAGCUCUUUUGGCGGGGACGAUAAUGACGGUACCCGCAGAAUAAGCCCGGCUAACUUCGUG